UUCGACCUCAAAUCAGGUAGGACUACCCGCUGAACUUAAGCAUAUCAAUAAGCCGGGAGGAAUAA
This 65-nucleotide ribosomal RNA is filed under the name Lodderomyces parapsilosis. RNAcentral's name for it is "Candida parapsilosis partial 28S ribosomal RNA". Lineage: Eukaryota; Fungi; Ascomycota; Pichiomycetes; Serinales; Debaryomycetaceae. The record is from RNAcentral.